RNAcentral lists this ribosomal RNA (376 nucleotides) under uncultured bacterium. RNAcentral's name for it is "bacterial SSU rRNA". It matches the Rfam family "Bacterial small subunit ribosomal RNA", at positions 97 to 509 of the family's 1533-position model. The record is from RNAcentral.
GGCAGACGGGUGAGUAACGCGUGGGAACGUGCCCUUCAGUUCGGAAUAACCCAGGGAAACUUGGGCUAAUACCGGAUACGUCCGUAAGGAGAAAGAUUUAUCGCUGAAGGAUCGGCCCGCGUCUGAUUAGCUAGUUGGUGAGGUAAUGGCUCACCAAGGCGACGAUCAGUAGCUGGUCUGAGAGGAUGAUCAGCCACAUUGGGACUGAGACACGGCCCAAACUCCUACGGGAGGCAGCAGUGGGGAAUAUUGGACAAUGGGCGCAAGCCUGAUCCAGCCAUGCCGCGUGAGUGAUGAAGGCCUUAGGGUUGUAAAGCUCUUUCGCGGGGACGAUAAUGACGGUACCCGCAGAAGAAGCCCCGGCUAACUUCGUGCC